Molecule: long non-coding RNA, 1012 nt
Filed under: Zonotrichia albicollis (white-throated sparrow)
Lineage: Eukaryota; Metazoa; Chordata; Aves; Passeriformes; Passerellidae
Description: lncRNA (ENSZALG00000015502.1)
Source: RNAcentral
GCGGGUGGAUUGGGGGUGGCGCGGGGUACCCGGUGUCCGGCGGCGAACGGUCCGGGCGCUUUGGUACCACCGAUAGAAGGUAUAAUUACGCUACCGGGUAUAAAUUGACUCUGUGUACCACUGAAUCAUACUGAAUAUUUGUAAUGUGUUCCUUCCCUAAUAGAUGCUCUCUAUGAAUAGAGAGAGUGCCUAUUUACUCUGAAAUACUUGGCACAGUGAGUGGAGUCUGAAGCAUGGAAGAAGUGGCUAUUAUUUUCCCACUGCCUGUGUGCAGCUGUCAUUUCUGAGCAACACGUUCCUCGUUCCUCGCACAUCCCAGCUUCCAACCUUCCUGAUGGUCCGCCCCAGGAUUACAACAAGAAGAGAAUGGCAUGCCACCUCAUUCAGCCAAAACCUUAACACUGUGGGUGAUGUGCAGUGAAGGCUCAGCCCUCCUUCCUUCCCAUAUCCCAGAUCCUCGGAGAGAGAAGAGGCAGAACAGUUCCUCAAGCCAGCAUGACGCUUUGCUUCAGAGACACUGUAGGAAGGACUGUGCCAUUCUGGCAGAGAUGAAGAACAAUUAUUCUUUCUGUUGUUGAACCUUCUCUUCAGGAAAUGACAUGUACCAGGGAGAUGAAUGAUCUUGAACUUUAUGUGUGUCCGGCACAUAUGCCACCAUCUGGGAUAUGCCACCAACUAUAGGAAGCAACCUAUGUGAAAAUGAAGAAUGUGCUACAAAUGCAAUGGUCUUUUUCAAGAAUUUCUGCUUCCCAGAGAAAUUUGAAAAUCCUGCUUCAGCACCAGCUGGGCUAUGGUAGGCAGUCUGGCCAGGAAUAUUGGCAGAAAUGUGAAAUCUCUUCAGUCCCAUGCGUGGUCUUCUAGCAACCCAUGUGGAGGCGAUGUGGUGUUUGCAGGCACACAGGAGCAGCUCCAGCCAUGUUGCCCCUGCAGCUGCUGCCAAAAUCUGGCUUGCCAGUGUGGUAAAUCUGGAACUGCUGAUGAUUGGCACUGCAAGACUUGCAUGAAUGGGUGA